GACGAACGCUGGCGGCGUGCUUAACACAUGCAAGUCGAACGGAAAGGCCCUGCUUUUGUGGGGUGCUCGAGUGGCGAACGGGUGAGUAACACGUGAGUAACCUGCCCUUGACUUUGGGAUAACUUCAGGAAACUGGGGCUAAUACCGGAUAGGAGCUCCUGCUGCAUGGUGGGGGUUGGAAAGUUUCGGCGGUUGGGGAUGGACUCGCGGCUUAUCAGCUUGUUGGUGGGGUAGUGGCUUACCAAGGCUUUGACGGGUAGCCGGCCUGAGAGGGUGACCGGCCACAUUAGGACUGAGAUACGGCACAGACGCCUACGGGAGGCAGCAGUGGGGAAUAUUGCGCAAUGGGCGGAAGCCUGAUGCAGCAACGCCGCGUGCGGGAUGACGGCCUUCGGGUUGUAAACCGCUUUCGCAUGUGACGAAGCGUGAGUGACGGUAAUGGGUAAAGAAGCACCGGCUAACUACGUG
This 468-nucleotide ribosomal RNA is filed under the name uncultured bacterium. RNAcentral describes it as "partial 16S ribosomal RNA". It matches the Rfam family "Bacterial small subunit ribosomal RNA", at positions 28 to 507 of the family's 1533-position model. The record is from RNAcentral.